RNAcentral lists this ribosomal RNA (206 nucleotides) under uncultured bacterium. Its description in RNAcentral is "partial 16S ribosomal RNA". It matches the Rfam family "Bacterial small subunit ribosomal RNA", at positions 568 to 774 of the family's 1533-position model. The record is from RNAcentral.
UGCGUAGGCGGCCUUGCAAGUCAGAAGUGAAAGGCUACGGCUCAACCGUAGUAAGCUUUUGAAACUGCAAGGCUAGAGUGAAGGAGAGGAAAGUGGAAUUCCUAGUGUAGAGGUGAAAUUCGUAGAUAUUAGGAGGAACACCAGUGGCGAAGGCGACUUUCUGGACUUUAACUGACGCUGAGGCACGAAAGCGUGGGGAGCGAACA